UUAAAUUGAAGAGUUUGAUCAUGGCUCAGAUUGAACGCUGGCGGCAGGCCUAACACAUGCAAGUCGAACGGUAACAGAAAGCAGCUUGCUGCUUUGCUGACGAGUGGCGGACGGGUGAGUAAUGUCUGGGAAACUGCCUGAUGGAGGGGGAUAACUACUGGAAACGGUAGCUAAUACCGCAUAACGUCGCAAGACCAAAGAGGGGGACCUUCGGGCCUCUUGCCAUCGGAUGUGCCCAGAUGGGAUUAGCUUGUUGGUGGGGUAACGGCUCACCAAGGCGACGAUCCCUAGCUGGUCUGAGAGGAUGACCAGCCACACUGGAACUGAGACACGGUCCAGACUCCUACGGGAGGCAGCAGUGGGGAAUAUUGCACAAUGGGCGCAAGCCUGAUGCAGCCAUGCCGCGUGUAU
This 411-nucleotide ribosomal RNA is filed under the name Escherichia coli. Its description in RNAcentral is "bacterial SSU rRNA". It matches the Rfam family "Bacterial small subunit ribosomal RNA", at positions 1 to 406 of the family's 1533-position model. Lineage: Bacteria; Pseudomonadati; Pseudomonadota; Gammaproteobacteria; Enterobacterales; Enterobacteriaceae. The record is from RNAcentral.